UACGUAGGGAGCAAGCGUUAUCCGGAAUUAUUGGGUGUAAAGGGUGCGUAGACGGGACAGCAAGUUAGUUGUGAAAUCCCUCGGCUUAACUGAGGAACUGCAACUAAAACUAUUGUUCUUGAGUGCAGGAGAGGAAAGCGGAAUUCCUAGUGUAGCGGUGAAAUGCGUAGAUAUUAGGAGGAACACCAGUGGCGAAGGCGGCUUACUGGACUGUAACUGACGUUGAGGCUCGAAGGUGCGGGUAUCGA
Molecule: ribosomal RNA, 248 nt
Filed under: uncultured Oscillospiraceae bacterium
Lineage: Bacteria; Bacillati; Bacillota; Clostridia; Eubacteriales; Oscillospiraceae
Description: partial 16S ribosomal RNA
Rfam family: Bacterial small subunit ribosomal RNA
Source: RNAcentral